This 4129-nucleotide long non-coding RNA is filed under the name Canis lupus familiaris (dog). Its description in RNAcentral is "lncRNA (ENSCAFG00000057264.1)". Lineage: Eukaryota; Metazoa; Chordata; Mammalia; Carnivora; Canidae. The record is from RNAcentral.
GCAGCCACUUCUUCAUGAAGUUAGUCCUGGGUUUGGCAAGGCUUGCUCUCUCCCACCUCCCCCACCACCCAGCCCUGGGCUGUCAACAGCCAAUUUGACACUAUGCACUCUGUCAGCACCUCGAGUGUCUGCACCUGUCUUAGAUCUUCUCCUCUGAGCAAGCCGCUUGGAGGACAUCUGAUAACCAGUAGGCCCUUGGGAAGUCUCUACAGCAAAAUCCAAAAGGAGAAGCAGUGGGGGUCCCCUACCUUUGUCUCUCAGGCUCUGGGGCAGCCUUUGAGAGGACUCGGCUCCCCAUUCCUGAACACGGCCCCCUCCUCCACUGGCAUAGGCCACCGUCCACAAGCACAGCCCAGAGUGGUGUCAACAACUUUAUUUUGGUCCCAACCACAGAUCAAUGUGGUUAGAUCAUUUCCCUUCUUAGGACUCCAGGCCCAGCUCUCUGCCCCCUACUAGGGAAAUAAGUUGCCACCAGAUAAACUGGGGGAAACUGCCGAGUUCCCCGAGACAGAAAGUGCAGCUCUGUGAAUCUAUUCUGUACUGAGUGGGGCCAACAAAAUGCAGGAUGGCUGGCCGCCGGGGCAGGAGGAGGGAAGCGCAGAAAGCCCGUGCUCUCUGUGGGGCCCUCGGAAGGUUAGAGCUCAAACUACCUACCCGGGUCCCGUUCCCAUUCCGUAUCAGAGUCCACCAGCCACUUUUAUUAGCAGCUCUGAGACACCAAGGAGCCAUCCGGAGAAGAGAGGAGAUGCACUGUUUCACUUGAAACCGAGCUGCCAAUUUGCAGUUGAAGACACUCUUUGGGGCUGGAAGCUCCGAGUUCCUAUUUUGCAGGCCCAGUGGAAACUGUGUCCAUGCUACUUGGACACCGCAUCCCGUCCGGGGACCACUACUUCCCCUUCCCCACAAGCCUGGAGGCCUUCCACAGCAGCACAGAGGAGCCGGGGCAGAGGCAGGGGGUUGAAAGGGUCUGGGUAGGCUUGAAGGAGUUGCGUAUUUUCUCUCCACACUCUGCUCAAACUAAAUGGCCUGUGUUCUAAAGAUUCCAUAGUACAAACAUGCUGAUAGAGCACCGAGAGAUUAACGUGUUCACCACCAGCCCCUUCUGCAUCUGCUGUGAUGAGUAAGGCUCCAGAAUCACAGAGCUUCCCCGUAGAAUGCAAAGUGCUCCACGCUGAUACCUCAGCUCAUUUUCUCCAUGAGGGAGGGGACGGAGGGAGGGGCCAGCAUCACCGCUGGAGUAGCCACUAGGUCCUAGGCUGCUGGUAUUUUAAUUCAAGUACCUUCACCACAAACGUGUGAGGCAAAGGUGUGACGACCGGGAGUGGAAUCUGCGGCUCCCCAGAGAGGGGCCGCCACACCUAACAGCAUCCGAAUAACAGCACUGCUUCUCAUGAACCAAGUGAACCAACUGUACAUUCUUCGGGCCAAGCAAAACCUAUCCACCUGUGGGCCGGACCCGUACAGACCGCUCCGAUGUGCAGACAAACAAGACAUGAUUUCUGAAGGGCAAGGUCAGCAUUUUCUUUUAUUUUUUAAGAUUUUAUUUAUUUGACAGUAGGUCAAAAUUUUCUUUGCCAUCUCUGCUCCUGGUGGAGCUCAUUGUAGCAGCUCCUGCUGUUUUGAGUGUGUACACAUUAAAAAUGAGGUGCACACCCCAAGAAAGGGAACCAGUGUUGCCCAGCACAAAGGCCUAGUCAUUCUCCGUCACCCAAAUUCUGCCUUUAUCCUGAGCUUGCUUGGUAAUAUUUUGUGUAGGACUCAGCCUCCAGGUACGACUGUUUUCCCACUGGAAACGAGUGGAGAUCUCCCAUGGCAAAGUGAGGACCUGGGGGUUUUCAGAACAAUCUCAUGCAAAAAGUGCCAGAGAGUAUGUUUAAUUUGAACCAUGAACCACUUGGAAAAUGCAAAAAUCCAUAUAUAUGUGUCUUCUUGCUUCCUUACCAAGCUUCCAGCAGAUCCCCAAGUAAAGCAAGUAUAAAACUGGGGUGAGUAGCACCCUACAUGGGGGCACUGAGAUGAAGCUGCCAGGGAACAAGGGUCCUAUGUCUGCUGGCCUCCUUCUCGAUUCUACCCAAAGUCCCAUAUGCAUCUCAAUCCACCAUGUCCAGAAAACAACACAUCCUCCUUCCUCACCACUUCCCCUCAACCAAGUGUGGGUCUGGAAAUGGUGUCACCUCCCACCUACGAGGCCUCCCAUAGCCCCCUCUGCUUGCUCCCUACUGCCUCACUGCCAUACCCCAUCUGUCAAUUCAAACUCCUAUGUGCCUCUCGGAUUCGUCCAUUUCUCCCCUCUGCCACUGCCUUUGAUCAGCCCUCCCUUGUGCCCCCAUAACUACUCUCACACUUCCACCUCCAAUUCUUUCUCUUUGCUGCCCCCACAGUGAUUUUUCUACCAGGAAAACCUUGCUUCUCUUACCUGAGAAUCCCUAAGGCCUUGCCACUGCCUACAGGACACUGGUGCUGGUCCAGGCUGCACCCAUGUUUGCAUCGUGCCCCACCUCCCACCCCUGCCUUGCACUACUGCAGGGGGAUAGUGCCGUGUGAGUUCACCCCCAUGCCUUGACGAUGCUACUUCCUGUACCUGGUACCUCUUCCUCAUAGGUUCACGCGGCCAAUGCCACGCACCCCUUGUCCUUCUCCAGGACACCUUCUCCAUGUCCUGCCUUUGAUAACUGGAUGGUGCACCCAGUGCACCCAGUUAUAUGAAAAUCUUGCAUAUUUUCAGGAUGCCGUCUGUGUACACAGAUCUCCCUUGUAUGUUGGGUUUAAUAGACAGACAAGGGCGCUGUGACCACACCAAGCUGUGAGCUCCCCAACGACGGAAACCAUUUUGCUUCCAUACAACCAAGCUCUUGCACAGUCAUAGCACAUAGUAGGCAUUCAGUAAAUAUUGACUGAACUGCCUGCCUGAUCAAUCGACUUGUUGGGUAAACAUUACUUAACAUCACAUCUACCUCUCCAACUAAAACACGUAAAUAUAUACAAAUAAAGCAAAGUGAAAGGUGGACAUCAAGAGAAAUCACAACCCCUUUUCUUUCUGCAUAGUCCUGACCUAAACUACUACUACUAGAAUGAGGUGUCCCCUCCUUCCUGGGCCUCUGCACUCCUGCAGUAACCAUCCCCUCCCCUGGUCUCCUGCUUUUGCAUGUACAUCCUCCUUUCAGACUCUGCAGGUUGCUUUCAUCAGCUCAGCUCAGCAAGCUCACAGGAGCUGGUUCGAGUGUAAUGGUGAGAGGCCAGAGCUUAGACUUCAUUCUCUCUCCUUCCUGAUUUUCUCUGACCUUGCAUGCGAAUACAAUCUUCUGCUGCUCACCUGGUCCUUUAAUACGGAUGGCCACCUUCAUCUUCGCCUCCUGAGCUUCAGCUCGGGAACAGCAAGGGCUUACUCUAGCUAUAAAGGAAGAGAAAUUGAGGCCUAGCCCAGAGAGGGAACUCGCUGGAAGAGAGUCAGCAGGCCUAGGAUUAGAAGCUGGGUCUCCCUAUUCCCUGCCCGGCACAUAAUACUUCUUCAAUUGCUCUGAAAAUGAAAACCUCAGGAUUAUUUUGCAGGAGAGGAAAAAAAAUAGGCCUUGAGAAGCUGUAGCCACAUUUUUGACAAGCUCCAUUCAGAGGGCACCGUAACUUACAUAAAUGAUUUCCUAUUACACUGCAAUUGUCACUGCAACAUGACAGUCUUGCAGUUUCCUUGAAGUGUUCUCUUUGUUGUUUUUCUGUACAGAUCCCCCAGAAAGAAGAAUCAAAUAUGGUCCGAGCAGGAAAACAAAUCACAUGACACCUGCAGACCCAGAUUCCCCUUCUGCAUGGCUCCUCCUGAGAAGGACCAAAGAGAAUGCAGUGAAUGAACACCCUGGGCCUGAGCCCUCUCCCACCUGCCCAGUUCCUAGAGCUCUGUCGUGUCCCCGCAAAUAGGAUUCCUUUUCAAAAAAAAAAAAAAAAAUGAAAGCCAACAGUCUAUGAAGAAGAAAUGAAGUGGCAAUUUCCCAGCAUGGCUGGGAAUCAAUACAAGCUGUUGCCAGGGUUUUCCUUUCAAAGGGUGACUGCUACACUUCUCUAAAGUCAAGAGUGACAGAGCUCCAGUGCUUGACUUACAACUGCUUCAUCAUAGCAAGAUAUUUUUAAUUUAAAACUC